AUAUGAUGAACUUCAGAUGACGAGUCUGAACUGUCGUGGCGAGGCUUCCUCGUCAUGGCUUUCCUUGACGACAUCCAAAUUUUAUACCAUUCAUGCUUUACUGAUU
Molecule: non-coding RNA, 106 nt
Organism: Postia placenta Mad-698-R
Lineage: Eukaryota; Fungi; Basidiomycota; Agaricomycetes; Polyporales; Adustoporiaceae
Source: Rfam